This 431-nucleotide ribosomal RNA is filed under the name uncultured bacterium. RNAcentral's name for it is "partial 16S ribosomal RNA". It matches the Rfam family "Bacterial small subunit ribosomal RNA", at positions 29 to 507 of the family's 1533-position model. The record is from RNAcentral.
AACGAACGCUGGCGGCAGGCUUAACACAUGCAAGUCGAGCGCCCCGCAAGGGGAGCGGCAGACGGGUGAGUAACGCGUGGGAACGUACCUUUUGGCUCGGAACAACUCCGGGAAACUGGAGCUAAUACCGGAUAAGCCCUAACGGGGAAAGAUUUAUCGCCGAAAGAUCGGCCCGCGUCUGAUUAGCUAGUUGGUGAGGUAACGGCUCACCAAGGCGACGAUCAGUAGCUGGUCUGAGAGGAUGAUCAGCCACACUGGGACUGAGACACGGCCCAGACUCCUACGGGAGGCAGCAGUGGGGAAUAUUGGACAAUGGGCGCAAGCCUGAUCCAGCCAUGCCGCGUGAGUGAUGAAGGCCUUAGGGUUGUAAAGCUCUUUUGUCCGGGAAGAUAAUGACUGUACCGGAAGAAUAAGCCCCGGCUAACUUCGUG